GAAAGGGGAAGACGAGAUAUGCGAUUCCGAAUCAGAAGAGGAAAUUAGGGAUUCAGACAUGAACGAAGCUGGAAAGAAGCAAUCAGUUCUUGAGACAAGUGAUGGCGAGGGGAAAAUAAAAAGAUAGAUAAGAAGAGGAAGAAGAAGAGUGAUGAUAUCAACAAUUUUCUAUGGUUCUAUGAACAAGACAAAGAUGGAAUUAGGCAAGAAGAGAAUAAUUUGAUCAAUUUCGUGCAGAAAACCAGAGACUCUUGCGAAGUAUGUGAUACUCUCCAAACAUUUUUCUGUGUUCAUUGCAACGUUUUGCAAGGAACUAACAAUUGUCUUUGGCUUGGUGUUGUUGGUAUGUGUUGCUCUUUUUAGGAUAGAAAGUAUAGAUGAUGUCUUUCGUUAUGUUUA
This is a non-coding RNA of Camelina sativa (false flax), 399 nucleotides long. The record is from RefSeq and is a predicted model, not a curated record. NCBI's taxonomy places the organism in Eukaryota, Viridiplantae, Streptophyta, Magnoliopsida, Brassicales, Brassicaceae.